Molecule: ribosomal RNA, 447 nt
Filed under: uncultured bacterium
Lineage: Bacteria
Description: bacterial SSU rRNA
Rfam family: Bacterial small subunit ribosomal RNA
Source: RNAcentral
AUCAUGGCUCAGAUUGAACGCUGGCGGCAGGCUUAACACAUGCAAGUCGAGCGGGGGCUUCGGUCCUAGCGGCGAACGGGUGAGGAAUGCCUGGGAAUCUGCCUGGUAGUGGGGGAUAACGAUUCGAAAGGGUCGCUAAUACCGCAUACGUCCUACGGGAGAAAGCAGGGGGACCUUCGGGCCUUGCGCUAUCAGAUGAGCCCAGGUCGGAUUAGCUAGUAGGUGAGGUAAAGGCUCACCUAGGCGACGAUCCGUAGCUGGUCUGAGAGGAUGAUCAGCCACACUGGAACUGAGACACGGUCCAGACUCCUACGGGAGGCAGCAGUGGGGAAUAUUGGACAAUGGGCGAAAGCCUGAUCCAGCCAUGCCGCGUGUGUGAAGAAGGCUCGGUGUAAGACGACUUAGUACGGGGAGGGAAGGGGACGUUCUGGUCGUAAUAUCCAGAGC